Lolium perenne is the source of this 4366-nucleotide non-coding RNA. Lineage: Eukaryota; Viridiplantae; Streptophyta; Magnoliopsida; Poales; Poaceae. The record is from RefSeq and is a predicted model, not a curated record.
UCUGUUCCGGAAUGUAAGGAGUUUGGGGUGUUACGUACAAAAUAAUUUGCACUACAAAAUAUAGCGACUUGCCCGUUUUGCCCCUCCACCACCCACUCGUGGAGCACACCUGCUCCACUCGCUGGCCACUCCACCCACGCCGCCGCCCUCUCCCUGGCGCGCGCCGCUGCCCCCGCCCUCUCCCUGGCCCGCGCCGCCGCUUGCCCCUCUCCGUGGCGUGCGUAGCCGCCGCCCUAUCCUCUAGCAUGCGUCGCCGCUGGCCGAUGCCGCUUCUCAACCGCGCGCAGAGCCACCUGCUCGCAUCGCUCCACCCCCUCGCCUUGGUCCACCCGCUCCUCCCAUGUCGCCGCCGCUCCCUGUCUCCCUAGCGCACAUCGCCGCUGCAACCUCUCAAUUGCCGUCCUCUCCAACAAAACUACCGCAUCGAGGUCGACUUCAAAAUGCAUUUUUUUUCCUCCACUGGCGACCAGAUUUACAGCGGCGGUGCUCGAUCUGAGAGAGCCAUGGUGAGGGCGGAGCUCCAAUCGUGGUGUUGGCAGUGGUGCGGAGCUCCAAUCGUAGCCAGAGAAGGCCACCUUCCAGAUCUUGGCGAAUGCACGGAGGAUGAGGUGGUUGUGGUGGUGCGGUGCCUUGAGGGAUUCGAACCGGUGGAGGAGCUUCCGCAGCUCGUCGCCGUCCACGAUCUUCGGUGGCGUCCUGGAGAGAGCGGACGGUGCGCUCUAUUUCGCCGAGCUGGAGCACGAGUGCGGCCACGCUGGGCGUGCUCCUCACGACGGAGGGCGACCCGCGACGCGACCUGGAACCAGGUCAUCUUUUGGCUCACCGGCGGCAGCGCAGGGCGUGUUCUUACCAAGGGAGGAGCAUGCCUGAAGAAGACGAACAAAUCAAAGACAUCCAGUGCCUAAUCGAGGGAAUUUUAUCAGUUCGAUCCUUGCAUUUAGUACGACACAAGCUGAUGAUUCUGAAGAUCUCUGUUGUUGUAUCUUCUCAGUAAGCCAAAAUUUGCACAAAUCACAUAUAAAGGAAAAGGAGUGGUGUACCCACCUAUUUUUGGGAAUUCACUGUUCUUGAUGUCAUUUCUAACCACACCUCCGUCAGAAGUCUGCCCCGUGGGCAGCGACUGAGGUCGGGCCGCCGCGUGCGCCCUGCCACCGUCCGCGCCGUGGCGGCGAGUGAGGCCGGGCCGCCGCGCACCCUGCCACCGUCCGGGCCUUCGUCUUCCACGGCGAAUCGACCGCACCGCCGGCCACCCCUUCUUCCAGCUCCAAGAUGUGGAGGCGACUGAGGCUGUCCGGGCCGUCGCGUUAGCUGGCCCAGGAAAUACAGUGCGGCGCCAUGGAUGUUCCGCUCAUCGCCGCAAUCGGCCAGGUGGGGACAUGUUGGCUCGCUCCGCCCAGCUCAUCGGCGGCCCCCGGCGACCCCAGCUAGCACGCUGCUCCGAGGCCCCUCAUUGACCCCCGUGGAGGCGGCGAGCGUGCUGAAGCUCAGGCUGGAGGAGGACAUUGACUGCGUCAUGAACCCUCUCCUCUUCGGCUCUCCUUCAUUCUCGUCGGCAGAGGCAGAGGCUCAGACCUGGUCUUCCACGAAUCCGCAGCUGCGAGCCUCCUCGAGCGGCCCAAGUACGGCAUGCUCCUGGAUUUGAUGAUCGACGCCCAUGCCCACCUCGCCCGCGACUGGUCACUGGCUAUAGCUGUUGAGGAGUUGGAGAGGACAAAAUUAUAUGGAGAGCAAUUGCAUAUAUUCAGAAAAGCCUUCCUGUUUUAUAACAUAGGCGCAAGGAUGUAUUAUUCUUGAGCAGCUGGAGGAGUUGAUGGUCAGAUAAGUAGGUGGAUUCUUGGAUCAGUCCACCAAUUUACAGAUUUAAAAUAUUGGGUCAAGGGUAUAGCUGUUGAGAAAAGACCAACCGAUUUUGGUGGAAUCAGAUGAUGACCCUUUCAGUUUUUGGUUAGACAAAGGCCAACCAUCUAAGGUGGAAUCAAAGGGUAUUGGCUAUUACGGAAGGAGUAUUCCAUAGAGAAAAUUAAUCCAGAGAGCACAUAACUUGGCAAAAUGAAAUUCUGGACCAGCAUCACAUGAAAUUGUGAAGGCAUUACUGGACACACAAUCUAGAGUAACUCAAGUGAGCAACAAAGCUGGCAGGGUGAAUGCAUUCUUACAAUAACAUAAUGUCUUCCAUUAUCCGCGCAAGUAGUAGGAGUAAAAUGGUGGCUAAUUAGAAAUAUUUAUGUAGUGGUGUCGAUGUGUUCACUGCUCUUUCUGGUGCUGUUGGAGCUCUAUAUGGUACACUGCAUGGUGGCGCAAAUGAGAGAUUCAAUACAAUAGAGCAUUGGGCGCUUGGUAGCACCCCAGAGCAAGUGGUCAGGGUGAAUACAUGUACAGAGUAUAGAGUAUAGAGUAUGGACCUGGAAUCAUUUUGCUCGGACGGGUAGAAGCCUUAUACAUAUGGUUAUAGCACGAAAUUAGCUGAAGUGGACCAAAGUGUACUUUUUGUGUGAGUUGUUCCGUAGGGAAAGCGGUGUUCUCCUCGACGACAACAUCAACAGCCAUCAGGAUCAGUAAGGAGCAUCUGGAAUUAAAGAACAGAUAUGGUUACAAGCAAACUCCCUUUCAAUCUGAGAACAAAGGAUCUUCCCUUGGAAGGCUAUGCCGCCAAGAAAGCAGCGAAAAAGGGGGUGACCACCGCUACCAAGUAGCAGCAACCACAACCGCCCGACCCGCCUGGACCUGACGCUCCCGUGCAGGAGAAGCUGCGGUGGCUUGCUGACCAAGAGACUAGGAUUCCUCAUCCGAAGUAGUUUGGAGUGGACGGGGAGUACAAUUUCAUGGUCAUUGAUCUUCUUGGUCCAAGUCUGGAAGACUUAUUCAACUAUUGCAACAGAAAAUUCACUCUUAAAAUAGUACUUAUGCUUGCUGAUCAGUUGAUUGCUAGGGUAGAGUACAUGCACUUGAGGGGCUUUCUUCAUCGUGAUAUAAAGCCGGAUAACUUUCUUAUGGGUUUAGGCCGUAGAGCAAGCCAGGAUUGGUUCUUACUGCUUGGUGGAACGGGAAGGGAGGCUAAGGAAACACAAGUUGUUGGUCUCUAUGCUUUAUAGUGUUGUUGGUGCUACAGAUCCUAUCAUGUGCUUCUUCUAAACAGGUUCACUUGCAUCUUAUAUAGGAUCAUCUAGAUGAUGUAGAUGAGCAAAUUUUUGUGAAUCUGUGAUCUUCAGCUCCUUUUGUAUUUCAGUGAUAACUAUUAAAGGCUAAUUUUAUUUCAAGGAGUUAAGCAUCAGUGUCGACCCAUUGUCGAAGUGGCCAUGGCUACGGAAGCCAGCUUGCACUUGAUCUCCAGAUUGUGUUGGAGGUUGCUAGCAGGAAAGAUUGUUAUCGUUUGAUCGGUUACAGAGGAUGGGUAUAGGGAAGGCGGCUUUCGCUGGUGUGUGAUACACUGAUUUCUCAACUAAUGGUGUACAUGCUAGCGGGAAAGAUUGUUAUCGUUCGUGUUUUGGUUGGUUACAGAGUAACCCAUUGAUUUGAAAGGAAGAGAUGAUGUCUCAGGCACCCAGAGAUUCCCAAUGGUUGUCCUACUGGGCGUCCGAUUAACCUCUCAUUAUCAGUGUUGCUUAUAUUUCCAUGCUAUACACUACCAUAACGGGAAAAAUAACAUGCUGCUCUUAGCAUCUGUCUAUAUCUCCACAAAAUUCUUUCAAGGUAACAAAGAUCUUCUCUAAUCUACCACUUCUUGAGUUGUGUGAUUUAACUGCCAGUGCCGAGGCAUUUGAUGCAAGACAGUCCAGGCUGUAACUUAUCUUACUCUCCUACAACAUCAUAAUUGUUGGAAUACUUACAUUUUCGUCGGCGAGGAUAGCAUGGUAGAUUAGAUCACCUCCUCUGUUGUUUUUUAUUCGACCAGAAAUAAGUUUCGCAGUUGCCUCCCAGGAUCUAUUGUAGAUAUGCAAUUGUUCCACAUUGCAGAAUGUAACAUGACUGCAAUAUAAACGGAGAAACAUGAGUAAAAUGUGAUGCUAAGAACAUGAGUAUGGCGACAGAGAACUUACCUUGGUGCCAUUACCCUCUUGGCGGUGUGGCGGCUGAGAAGGUAUUGACUCAGCAUGGUGGUAGAUUGAAAAUGGAUCAGCUGGACUGAGAUGAAGAUGGAUGACCUUAGCCUGGAGUUUUGUAUGCGUUUCGGUAAAGAAUUGAGAUAUGGUAAGAUGGUUCAUUCCUUUUUGCAAUUAGAUCGUUCUGGGGUCGUGAGUUUGGGCCGUGUGAUGGCAUGUAACCUUGUUACGUGAUUUGUGGAGAUGCGGUUUGGAACAGUUUUUGGAACCUUGUAAUUUAUUGUAAAGAAUUGAGAUAUGGUAAGAUGGUUCAUUCCUUUUUGCAA